GAACAGUCUAAACGAAAUUCAGACGAUGAAGAUACAUGCGAAAGAAGCUCGAAGCGAUGGCAUGGUGCACAAGGCAAUGGAGGGCCAACGGCGGCGUGGCCGAACCUGGCAAAUGCGCAGGCACGCGCGGCCCAGCAGGUGCGUGGCCCAACAUGUGGGGAUGCACCGCGGCCCAGCAAGUACAUGGCCCAAUGCAUGGG
Molecule: long non-coding RNA, 200 nt
Filed under: Elaeis guineensis (African oil palm)
Lineage: Eukaryota; Viridiplantae; Streptophyta; Magnoliopsida; Arecales; Arecaceae
Description: long non-coding RNA (EGUI_LNC007876)
Source: RNAcentral